This 527-nucleotide ribosomal RNA is filed under the name uncultured bacterium. RNAcentral describes it as "bacterial SSU rRNA". It matches the Rfam family "Bacterial small subunit ribosomal RNA", at positions 777 to 1302 of the family's 1533-position model. The record is from RNAcentral.
AAUAGAUACCCUGGUAGUCCACGCCGUAAACAAUGAGUGCUAAGUGUUAGAGGGUUUCCGCCCUUUAGUGCUGCAGCUAACGCAUUAAGCACUCCGCCUGGGGAGUACGGUCGCAAGACUGAAACUCAAAGGAAUUGACGGGGGCCCGCACAAGCGGUGGAGCAUGUGGUUUAAUUCGAAGCAACGCGAAGAACCUUACCAGGUCUUGACAUCCUCUGACAACUCUAGAGAUAGAGCAUUCCCCUUCGGGGGACAGAGUGACAGGUGGUGCAUGGUUGUCGUCAGCUCGUGUCGUGAGAUGUUGGGUUAAGUCCCGCAACGAGCGCAACCCUUGAUCUUAGUUGCCAGCAUUCAGUUGGGCACUCUAAGGUGACUGCCGGUGACAAACCGGAGGAAGGUGGGGAUGACGUCAAAUCGUCAUGCCCCUUAUGACCUGGGCUACACACGUGCUACAAUGGAUGGUACAAAGGGCUGCAAGACCGCGAGGUCAAGCCAAUCCCAUAAAACCAUUCUCAGUUCGGAUUGGU